This 238-nucleotide ribosomal RNA is filed under the name uncultured bacterium. Its description in RNAcentral is "partial 16S ribosomal RNA". It matches the Rfam family "Bacterial small subunit ribosomal RNA", at positions 96 to 334 of the family's 1533-position model. The record is from RNAcentral.
CGGCGGACGGGUGAGUAACGCGUGGGUAACCUGCCUCAUACAGGGGGAUAACAGUUGGAAACGGCUGCUAAUACCGCAUAAGCGCACAGUACCGCAUGGUACGGUGUGAAAAACUCCGGUGGUAUGAGAUGGACCCGCGUCUGAUUAGGUAGUUGGUGGGGUAACGGCCUACCAAGCCGACGAUCAGUAGCCGACCUGAGAGGGUGACCGGCCACACUGGGACUGAGACACGGCCCAA